GCGAGGGUAGCCAAGCCUGGCCAACGGCGGCGGACUCAAGAUCCGCUCCCGUAGGGGUCCAUGCGUUCGAAUCGCAUCCCUCGCA
Molecule: transfer RNA, 85 nt
Filed under: Halovenus rubra
Lineage: Archaea; Methanobacteriati; Methanobacteriota; Halobacteria; Halobacteriales; Haloarculaceae
Also listed under: 2 other names
Description: tRNA-Leu
Source: RNAcentral